This is a long non-coding RNA of Polypterus senegalus (gray bichir), 2310 nucleotides long. RefSeq lists it as uncharacterized. The transcript has 5 exons. The record is from RefSeq and is a predicted model, not a curated record. NCBI's taxonomy places the organism in Eukaryota, Metazoa, Chordata, Cladistia, Polypteriformes, Polypteridae.
CCAGUUAGUGAUACUGCCUGUGACUUUCCACCCAUAUAAUCUCGUUCUAAGAGAAAAAAGAAAGUCUUUCUAUUUCCAGGCACCUCUACUUGUGCAUGCACAUGGCUUCCACAUACACACACACACACAUGCUGCCAACUUUAAGCAGCUUUUUGAUUUUGCCGGGACUUUUAACUCUCUUAGGGCUCCUUUGCACAACUGGCUUUCCUGUAUCUCUUCAUGCCGGAACCCUGCCAUAACACAUGCGGGCUUCAACGGACAUCCUUUCCUGACAUGCCAACAAAAGUUGCCCGGACUGGGUCCAAAACUGAAACAGCCCUCCUCACCUGAACCGACACGCCAGCAGCAUCUCAAACAUCCUCCAUGCCACUGACACUGCCAUUCUUCCAGAGCCUCCUUGCCUACCCCACAGUUGGUGGUGCUUCCAGGGCAAAAUCGGAGCUGAUUUCAGGGGUCCUCACGGAAGUCUUCUUCUUUUCUGUGGAUGGAAAGGCAGAAAGUAUUAAUGAUUGUAACACCCAACACCACACACAGGAGUUGCAAGCUCAUUUAUAGUUGUAUUUUGGGAUGGAAAAAGAGAGCGCACUAUCACUGCUUUAAAUGCACUGUCACGGUUCUACAAAGGGCUGGAUUUCUUGCACAUUUACGAAGAUGUGUUCCAAAGGAAGGACCACCUGCACUCACCCCUUCAGUGUCCUCUACCUCAAGUCCGCUGUUAUUUGCCUCAACCCCACAGGCUAUAGCGUGAGUUACAACCCAGCAAUAUCUGCCUUAUUCCUAGGUGAAUCAUUAAUUUCCAAUACCCAGCCAAUAAAAGAAUAUGCAUCAUAUCUUCAGAAAUCCACACUUCAAUUCACCAAGAAUACACCAACAAUAUUGUCACCUCUGCAAGAGUCAUCACUUGCCACAAGCCAGCAAAGUUUGUGUACCUCAGCCCUGGAAGAACCAUUACUUGCUGUAGAACAGCAGAUGCCAAUGUUUACUUCACCCCUGGGAAAAUCUGUGCUUGCUGUAACCCACCAAACAUCCAGCCCAGUUUCACCCCUGCAAGAGUCCACACCCUCCUCAGCUAAGCCAAUUUUGACUACACAAGCUAAUUUAAGAAAAGUUAUAGUGCAGUGUCCUUAUUGUAAGUUAGCUUUAAAUCGCAAAAAUCUUAAAAGACAUGUGGAAAGGCGGCAUAUGUCCACUUCAGGUGAUAUAACAUUAUCACAUAAUUUAGAAAGCCAUUGUAUUGAUCCUAGACAUGGCAUUUAUGCAGUUCGAAGAAAUUUUAUGCAGUUUAUGCAGAAGAGAACUUGGGGUUUGAUGCAGGACACUGUGUGUGAGCUUGAAGAAUGUGCAAUAAAUCAGGAGAUUGCAGUUGGGAGUGGACUUGUGGCAUUUCAUUGCAUCCAUUUACGCUCACUGACUAUUGCAAAACGUAGUCACCAAGGAUUCACUUGAAAAAGGAGGGUUUGACUGAGAUGGUGCAGGCAAAACGGUUUGGGGAGGCCAAAAAAAGAUUAUGUGAGAAAUUAUACCAGGAAUAUAUUGAUGAACAUACACCUCUUGAAGUCUUGGUUGACAAUGGAGAGACCUCCAAGCACUCAAUAAGGUUGGAAGGGUGCUCGUCACAUACGAUAGCAAACAAAAAAUAUGGCACUGUCCAUGUACAGGUGACAAACUGUCUUGUUUACAAAAAUAUAUUGCAAAAUAGUAUUUAUUUCAAACUAAUAGAGACCUCUUUAGGACUUUGCUAUGUAAAGACAGGACUGAGCAUCUUAAACAAUCAAAAGUGUACCCACCUGAGAGAAAUGUUGUGAAGCGAAUGUUGAAGUACAUUUUUGCCAAGAAGAAGAUCCCAGCCACCCUACCUGAACAUUGCCACAGGAAAAUAUUUGCACGGAAUGUGAAGGCCAUAUUCAUUUAAGUGAGCCAGUAUUAAUCACAAAAGUAGCAAAAAUCAUUACAUUGACCAGAGUCUUGGAAGGUGUACCAACCUGUUACAAACAGUGCCCAUCUUGUCGAAUAAUGCACCAUUAUCAGGAGUGGGAACAAGGAGCUCAUAAUUAUGAUGACCAUAUCAUUCUUGGCUUACAUUUGUGCUUGUAUUUAAGGGCCUCACUCCAGAUACACAAUGCUUUGAGCCAGAUGUUUGAGGCCAUGGAGAAAGCUAGUGGGUUCACACUCCCAAAUCAAAACUGGCUCCUUCACCAUACCUGCAUUUUGAAGCACUUACUUCUCAUGAGUAUGGGUUCUUGUGUGUUAAAUGUGGGCAUAAUCCCUCUGUUGUUAUAAUGGAUCUCCACAAAAAAGAAAUUUUUAGCA